AAACUGGUGGUCAAGGGGUUUGGAUUUGGCGCUCUUACUGCCAUGGCCCGGGUUUGAUUCCCGGUCACUGAG
Non-coding RNA from Ameiurus melas (black bullhead), 72 nucleotides. NCBI's taxonomy places the organism in Eukaryota, Metazoa, Chordata, Actinopteri, Siluriformes, Ictaluridae. The record is from the annotation of a GenBank genome assembly.